RNAcentral lists this ribosomal RNA (254 nucleotides) under uncultured bacterium. Its description in RNAcentral is "partial 16S ribosomal RNA". It matches the Rfam family "Bacterial small subunit ribosomal RNA", at positions 526 to 779 of the family's 1533-position model. The record is from RNAcentral.
CGGAAGGUCCGGGCGUUAUCCGGAUUUAUUGGGUUUAAAGGGAGCGUAGGCCGGAGAUUAAGCGUGUUGUGAAAUGUAGAUGCUCAACAUCUGCACUGCAGCGCGAACUGGUUUCCUUGAGUACGCACAAAGUGGGCGGAAUUCGUGGUGUAGCGGUGAAAUGCUUAGAUAUCACGAAGAACUCCGAUUGCGAAGGCAGCUCACUGGAGCGCAACUGACGCUGAAGCUCGAAAGUGCGGGUAUCGAACAGGAUU